UGGGGAAGUAUUGGACAAUGGGCGCAAGCCUGAUCCAGCCAUACCGCGUGGGUGAAGAAGGCCUUCGGGUUGUAAAGCCCUUUUGUUGGGAAAGAAAUCCAGCUGGCUAAUACCCGGUUGGGAUGACGGUACCCAAAGAAUAAGCACCGGCUAACUUCGUGCCAGCAGCCGCGGUAAUACGAAGGGUGCAAGCGUUACUCGGAAUUACUGGGCGUAAAGCGUGCGUAGGUGGUCGUUUAAGUCCGUUGUGAAAGCCCCUGGGCUCAACCUGGGGAACUGCAGUGGAUACUGGGCGACUAGAGUGUGGUAGAGGGUAGCGGAAUUCCUGGUGUAGCAGUGAAAUGCGUAGAGAUCAGGAGGAACAUCCAUGGCGAAGGCAGCUACCUGGACCAACACUGACACUGAGGCACGAAAGCGUGGGGAG
RNAcentral lists this ribosomal RNA (424 nucleotides) under uncultured Stenotrophomonas sp. RNAcentral's name for it is "bacterial SSU rRNA". It matches the Rfam family "Bacterial small subunit ribosomal RNA", at positions 355 to 768 of the family's 1533-position model. The record is from RNAcentral. Lineage: Bacteria; Pseudomonadati; Pseudomonadota; Gammaproteobacteria; Lysobacterales; Lysobacteraceae.